UUGAAGAGUUUGAUCAUGGCUCAGAUUGAACGCUGGCGGCAGGCCUAACACAUGCAAGUCGAACGGUAGCACAGAGAGCUUGCUCUCGGGUGACGAGUGGCGGACGGGUGAGUAAUGUCUGGGAAACUGCCUGAUGGAGGGGGAUAACUACUGGAAACGGUAGCUAAUACCGCAUAACGUCGCAAGACCAAAGAGGGGGACCUUCGGGCCUCUUGCCAUCAGAUGUGCCCAGAUGGGAUUAGCUAGUAGGUGGGGUAACGGCUCACCUAGGCGACGAUCCCUAGCUGGUCUGAGAGGAUGACCAGCCACACUGGAACUGAGACACGGUCCAGACUCCUACGGGAGGCAGCAGUGGGGAAUAUUGCACAAUGGGCGCAAGCCUGAUGCAGCCAUGCCGCGUGUAUGAAGAAGGCCUUCGGGUUGUAAAGUACUUUCAGCGGGGAGGAAGGUGUUGUGGUUAAUAACCACAGCAAUUGACGUUACCCGCAGAAGAAGCACCGGCUAACUCCGUGCCAGCAGCCGCGGUAAUACGGAGGGUGCAAGCGUUAAUCGGAAUUACUGGGCGUAAAGCGCACGCAGGCGGUCUGUCAAGUCGGAUGUGAAAUCCCCGGGCUCAACCUGGGAACUGCAUUCGAAACUGGCAGGCUAGAGUCUUGUAGAGGGGGUAGAAUUCCAGGUGUAGCGGUGAAAUGCGUAGAGAUCUGGAGGAAUACCGGUGGCGAAGGCGGCCCCCUGGACAAAGACUGACGCUCAGGUGCGAAAGCGUGGGGAGCAAACAGGAUUAGAUACCCUGGUAGUCCACGCCGUAAACGAUGUCGACUUGGAGGUUGUGCCCUUGAGGCGUGGCUUCCGGAGCUAACGCGUUAAGUCGACCGCCUGGGGAGUACGGCCGCAAGGUUAAAACUCAAAUGAAUUGACGGGGGCCCGCACAAGCGGUGGAGCAUGUGGUUUAAUUCGAUGCAACGCGAAGAACCUUACCUACUCUUGACAUCCAGAGAACUUUCCAGAGAUGGAUUGGUGCCUUCGGGAACUCUGAGACAGGUGCUGCAUGGCUGUCGUCAGCUCGUGUUGUGAAAUGUUGGGUUAAGUCCCGCAACGAGCGCAACCCUUAUCCUUUGUUGCCAGCGGUCCGGCCGGGAACUCAAAGGAGACUGCCAGUGAUAAACUGGAGGAAGGUGGGGAUGACGUCAAGUCAUCAUGGCCCUUACGAGUAGGGCUACACACGUGCUACAAUGGCGCAUACAAAGAGAAGCGACCUCGCGAGAGCAAGCGGACCUCAUAAAGUGCGUCGUAGUCCGGAUUGGAGUCUGCAACUCGACUCCAUGAAGUCGGAAUCGCUAGUAAUCGUAGAUCAGAAUGCUACGGUGAAUACGUUCCCGGGCCUUGUACACACCGCCCGUCACACCAUGGGAGUGGGUUGCAAAAGAAGUAGGUAGCUUAACCUUCGGGAGGGCGCUUACCACUUUGUGAUUCAUGACUGGGGUGAAGUCGUAACAAGGUAACCGUAGGGGAACCUGCGGUUGGAUCACCUCCUU
RNAcentral lists this ribosomal RNA (1535 nucleotides) under Enterobacter kobei. RNAcentral describes it as "bacterial SSU rRNA". It matches the Rfam family "Bacterial small subunit ribosomal RNA". The record is from RNAcentral. Lineage: Bacteria; Pseudomonadati; Pseudomonadota; Gammaproteobacteria; Enterobacterales; Enterobacteriaceae.